Lytechinus pictus (painted urchin) is the source of this 1353-nucleotide long non-coding RNA. RefSeq lists it as uncharacterized. Lineage: Eukaryota; Metazoa; Echinodermata; Echinoidea; Temnopleuroida; Toxopneustidae. The record is from RefSeq and is a predicted model, not a curated record. The transcript is spliced from 4 exons.
CACAGCCGAACCAGCCCACCGACGUCCUCACUCACACCCGCACAACUCCCAUAUGUCACCGCGCCACCACUGACCACCCGCUGCCGACCCGGCCGCGAAAUUAUUUUUCCCACUCCAGUUCUGGACGCAAAUGUAUUAUCAACUGGCUUGAUACGGUCAAGUAUAUACUGGACAAUUUUUCUUCAAAUGCUCUCAUAUUCCGUGAGUUUCGUACCACUUGUCGGUUUAUCGGAGACGUUGCAAGUUGCCGAAUUGUUAGAUUUCAAACAUGUCACCCAAAGUUAUUGUCUUCGUAUGUCUACUGGUAGCUCUCGUUUCGAACACGAGUGCCCGUGUUAUCGAUAUCAAUGGCGAUGAAGAGGCUAUCGAUCAAACUGCAUUGGACUUGGUAAACGAUGGUUCUACAGCUCACAUUCCAAGAGUUGUGAGACGCAGUGCUGGAGACAAGACAAAACGUGGUUGCUGUUUCGAGUGUCAUCGUUGGUGCACUUGCUGCUACGCAUGAAGAACCUCUGGCAAAUAGACAUCAUCGUAGAAUUUAAUCCCUCUUCAUUAAUAUUUUGUUUUAUCAUCUUUUCUAGUAAAAUCAUUUAAGGGUAAGGGGAGAUUCAAUAUUGUUUGGAGGAGUGAAAUGUAUGUAUAUGUGCAUAUAUAUAUAAAUAUAUAUAUAUAUAUAUAUACAUACAUACAUACAUUACCAUGAUAUCACGGAGACUCUGUUCUCCCUUGAAUAUAACGUUUCCUUGUUGUAUAUGAUCUUUUUAUAGAUUUCACAAUUACUACUACUAAUAAUAAUAAUGAUAAUAAUAAUAAUAAAAAUUAUGAAAAUAAUGAUCAUUAAGAUUGAUCAAAUGCAUAAUAGAUAAAACCUCUCUCUAUGCGCUUUACAAAAUAAAAAAUAGGUAUUAAAAUAUUAUGAAACAAAGUUAUUGUAAGAAAUGUAAACUAGCUAAUGGAUAAAAAAUUACCGAUACAACAUAAACAUAAAAAUAAGGAUAAUAACAUCAAAGUUAAGCAUAAGACAUUGGUCAAGAACCUGUAAAUAUUUAUUAAUUAUUUGAAAAAUCGCAGUCUCAAUUACAUUCAACCAAUUAUUCACUUAUUCAUGUUAUUUGUUUUAAAGGCAUUAUUGAGACAUUGAGUUAGCAUUGCAAGGCUCCACUUGUCUCCUUUGUCUGUUUUUGGUUAUAAAAAUGAAACCCAGAAAGGAAAAUAUCGACCGAAAAUCUUCAUUUGACGCUUCAAAUAAUGAAACACAGAGUGACCGAAAACACCAUCUUCAUUUCAUUAAAAACGCUAGCACGUGUUUUAAAAAUCUCCCCAUUAUAUUAAUUAAAUAACAAAGAUCCUGAA